GGCCCCGUCGACUAACGGUUAGGUCACUGGCCUUUCACGCCAGCAGUGGUGGGUUCGAAUCCCCCUGGGGUCACCA
RNAcentral lists this transfer RNA (76 nucleotides) under Planctomycetota bacterium. Its description in RNAcentral is "Planctomycetes bacterium tRNA-Glu". It matches the Rfam family "tRNA". From Rfam's summary of the family: Transfer RNA (tRNA) molecules are approximately 80 nucleotides in length. Their secondary structure includes four short double-helical elements and three loops (D, anti-codon, and T loops). Further hydrogen bonds mediate the characteristic L-shaped molecular structure. tRNAs have two regions of fundamental functional importance: the anti-codon, which is responsible for specific mRNA codon recognition, and the 3' end, to which the tRNAs corresponding amino acid is attached (by aminoacyl-tRNA synthetases). tRNAs cope with the degeneracy of the genetic code in two manners: having more than one tRNA (with a specific anti-codon) for a particular amino acid; and 'wobble' base-pairing, i.e. permitting non-standard base-pairing at the 3rd anti-codon position. Lineage: Bacteria; Pseudomonadati; Planctomycetota. The record is from RNAcentral.